RNAcentral lists this ribosomal RNA (561 nucleotides) under uncultured bacterium. Its description in RNAcentral is "bacterial SSU rRNA". It matches the Rfam family "Bacterial small subunit ribosomal RNA", at positions 338 to 916 of the family's 1533-position model. The record is from RNAcentral.
CCUACGGGAGGCAGCAGUGGGGAAUAUUGGACAAUGGGCGCAAGCCUGAUCCAGCAAUUCCGCGUGGGUGAAGAAGGUCUUCGGAUUGUAAAGCCCUUUCGACGGGGACGAUGAUGACGGUACCCGUAGAAGAAGCCCCGGCUAACUUCGUGCCAGCAGCCGCGGUAAUACGAAGGGGGCUAGCGUUGCUCGGAAUUACUGGGCGUAAAGGGCGCGUAGGCGGCUUAGUUAGUCAGGCGUGAAAGCCCUGGGCUCAACCUGGGGACUGCGCUUGAUACGGCUAGGCUAGAGGAUGGAAGAGGGUCGCGGAAUUCCCAGUGUAGAGGUGAAAUUCGUAGAUAUUGGGAAGAACACCGGUGGCGAAGGCGGCGACCUGGUCCAUUACUGACGCUGAGGCGCGACAGCGUGGGGAGCAAACAGGAUUAGAUACCCUGGUAGUCCACGCCGUAAACGAUGUGCGCUGGAUGUUGGGUGACCUAGUCACUCAGUGUCGUAGCUAACGCGGUAAGCGCACCGCCUGGGGAGUACGGCCGCAAGGUUGAAACUCAAAUGAAUUGACGG